GAAUAUGGCAGAAUGUUCUGAAUCAGCUGGGAGAAUUUUCACAUUGUGCUUGUGAGCAAGGGGAAGCACAAAGGGACCUCCAGCAAUCAGGGUCUCCUUGUUUGCUAGGGCUAUAUCCUUUCCCGCCUCAAUAGCAGCUACGGUAGGCUUCAAGCCGGCACACCCAACUAUUCCUGUAACUACCGUGACAGCAUCUGGGUGCCGAGCAACCUCGACAACACCUUCCUCCCCAGGUAUGAUAAUUGGCUUGUAAUCAGCAUCAGCCAGAGCUUCUUUCAGCUCACCAAGAAGCGACUCAUUUCUGACAGCGACCAAUUGCGGCCUAAAUGUUUUCACCUGAUCAGCCAAGAGAGUAACAUUAGAUCCCGCUGCUAGUGCCACCACCCUGAACUUAUCCGGAUUCUCUGCCACUAUGUCCAGAGUCUGAGUUCCGAUCGACCCCGUCGAUCCAACAAUCGAGAUCGGCUUCGGACCGUCCCACGACUUCCGGCCCGGUUCCGAAACCGCCCGGCCAGGCCAAGCCGGCGGAGGCCCCUGUUGCAUGGAGCAGCUAACUCUCUUCAUGCAACUCAUCCCCUUCUCCUUCCUCAUCGCAUGAAUUCCCACUUUGAGGGGGUGGAAGGUGGC
This 627-nucleotide unclassified non-coding RNA is filed under the name Hevea brasiliensis (rubber tree). The record is from RNAcentral. Lineage: Eukaryota; Viridiplantae; Streptophyta; Magnoliopsida; Malpighiales; Euphorbiaceae.